GAUGAACGCUAGCGGCAGGCUUAAUACAUGCAAGUCGUGGGGCAGCGCAGGUAGCAAUACUGGGCGGCGACCGGCAAACGGGUGCGGAACACGUACACAACCUUCCGAGAAGUGGGGAAUAGCCCAGAGAAAUUUGGAUUAAUACCCGUAACAUAACGAUGUGGCAUCACAUUGUUAUUAUAGCUUCGGCGCUUCUUGAUGGGUGUGCGGCUGAUUAGAUAGUUGGCGGGGUAACGCCCACCAAGUCUACGAUCAGUAGCUGAUGUGAGAGCAUGAUCAGCCACACGGGCACUGAGACACGGGCCCGACUCCUACGGGAGGCAGCAGUAAGGAUAUUGGUCAAUGGGGCGCAAGCCUGAUCCAGCCAUGCCGCGUGU
This 377-nucleotide ribosomal RNA is filed under the name uncultured bacterium. RNAcentral describes it as "bacterial SSU rRNA". It matches the Rfam family "Bacterial small subunit ribosomal RNA", at positions 28 to 404 of the family's 1533-position model. The record is from RNAcentral.